UACACCCCCACAUAUCAAGGAAACUUGGGUGAUUGCCCACCAGUGCUCUCUUCUGGCAGAAGAAAGAAAACUUACUUGUCAGUGCCUCAGGCUUAGAACAUUUCACAAUGCAAGGAAGUGAAUAAAGAACAGAUGGACUGGGAAUGUUCUCAUAGCCUGGAAGGAAACUGGUGAUCUGAUGGAAACCUAACAGAUGCAGAAGUGAUAAAACAAAAACUAAGAUAAUGUGAACAAGGAAGAAGGCAGCUCAGCAGGGCUCCAUGGAGGGGGCAAAACGUCCUUCCCGGAAAUAUUGGGCUGCAUCCAGGCACUAUCGAAUUGGACUGAAACUGCAAGGAUGCUGACAGACAAGAAGAUAUACCAAAGGACAUUUUGCAAUGGUCCACUUCAAACUGGGAGCCAGUUCAGGGUUUGUGAU
RNAcentral lists this long non-coding RNA (418 nucleotides) under Pogona vitticeps (central bearded dragon). RNAcentral describes it as "lncRNA (ENSPVIG00000005355.1)". Lineage: Eukaryota; Metazoa; Chordata; Lepidosauria; Squamata; Agamidae. The record is from RNAcentral.